UACAGAGGGGGCAAGCGUUGUUUGGAAUUACUGGGCGUAAAGGGCGCGUAGGCGGCCUGUUAAGUCGAACGUGAAAUCCCCGGGCUCAACCCGGGAACUGCGUCCGAUACUGGCAGGCUUGAAUCCGGGAGAGGGAUGCGGAAUUCCAGGUGUAGCGGUGAAAUGCGUAGAUAUCUGGAGGAACACCGGUGGCGAAGGCGGCAUCCUGGACCGGCAUUGACGCUGAGGCGCGAAAGCCAGGGGAGCAAACGGG
Molecule: ribosomal RNA, 253 nt
Filed under: uncultured bacterium
Lineage: Bacteria
Description: partial 16S ribosomal RNA
Rfam family: Bacterial small subunit ribosomal RNA
Source: RNAcentral